AACGAACGCUGGCGGCAUGCCUAACACAUGCAAGUCGAACGAGACCUUCGGGUCUAGUGGCGCACGGGUGCGUAACGCGUGGGAACCUGCCCUUAGGUUCGGAAUAACUCCCCGAAAGGGGUGCUAAUACCGGAUAAUGUCUUCGGACCAAAGAUUUAUCGCCUUUGGAUGGGCCCGCGUUGGAUUAGCUAGUUGGUAGGGUAAAAGCCUACCAAGGCGACGAUCCAUAGCUGGUCUGAGAGGAUGAUCAGCCACACUGGGACUGAGACACGGCCCAGACUCCUACGGGAGGCAACAGUGGGGAAUAUUGGACAAUGGGCGAAAGCCUGAUCCAGCAAUGCCGCGUGAGUGAUGAAGGCCUUAGGGUUGUAAAGCUCUUUUACCCGGGAUGAUAAUGACAGUACCGGGAGAAUAAGCGCCGGCUAACUCCGUG
Molecule: ribosomal RNA, 433 nt
Filed under: uncultured bacterium
Lineage: Bacteria
Description: partial 16S ribosomal RNA
Rfam family: Bacterial small subunit ribosomal RNA
Source: RNAcentral